GACGAACGCUGGCGGCGUGCUUAACACAUGCAAGUCGAACGGAAAGGCCUGCUUUCCCUUGUGGAUUGCGGGUACUCGAGUGGCGAACGGGUGAGUAACACGUGAGUGAUCUGCCCCCAACUUGGGUAUAAGCCUGGGAAACUGGGUCUAAUUCCCGAUAGGACUGCAGGGUGGUGCCUGUGGUGGAAAACGAUUUUCUAGUGGUUGGGGGUGAGCGCGCGGCCUAUCAGCUUGUUGGUGGGGUAAUGGCCUACCAAGGCGGCGACGGGUAGCCGGCCUGAGAGGGUGGACGGCCACAUUGGGACUGAGAUACGGCCCAGACUCCUACGGGAGGCAGCAGUGGGGAAUAUUGCACAAUGGGCGGAAGCCUGAUGCAGCGACGCCGCGUGGGGGAUGACGGCCUUCGGGUUGUAAACUCCUUUCGACCGCGAGGAAGCCACCUGGUUGGAAGGGUGGUGACGGUAGUGGUAGAAGAAGCACCGGCUAACUACGUG
RNAcentral lists this ribosomal RNA (494 nucleotides) under uncultured bacterium. Its description in RNAcentral is "partial 16S ribosomal RNA". It matches the Rfam family "Bacterial small subunit ribosomal RNA", at positions 28 to 507 of the family's 1533-position model. The record is from RNAcentral.